RNAcentral lists this ribosomal RNA (535 nucleotides) under Balebreviceps hillmani (Bale Mountains tree frog). Its description in RNAcentral is "partial 16S ribosomal RNA". It matches the Rfam family "Bacterial large subunit ribosomal RNA", at positions 1819 to 2598 of the family's 2925-position model. The record is from RNAcentral. Lineage: Eukaryota; Metazoa; Chordata; Amphibia; Anura; Brevicipitidae.
CGCCUCUUGACACACAUAAGAGGUCCAGCCUGCCCAAUGAUAUAUUAAAUGGCCGCGGUACCCUAACCGUGCGAAGGUAGCAUAAUCACUUGUUCACUAAAUAUGGACUUGUAUCAACGGCAUCACGAGGGCCUCACUGUCUCCUAACUUUCAUCAAUUAAACUAAUCUCCCCGUGAAGAAGCGGGGAUCCCCUUAUAAGACGAGAAGACCCCAUGGAGCUUAAAACCUAAGCCAUCCACCCAAAUUUACACCCCCCCCCGCAGCAAUGGCCUCUAGUUUUCGGUUGGGGUGACCGCGGAGUAAAACAAAUCCUCCACGAUGCCCAUCUGCAAGAGCCCCAUCUCAAACAAUCCUAAAUUUGUCAUCUCUUGACCCAAAUUAUUGAUCAACGAACCCAGUUACCCUGGGGAUAACAGCGCAAUCCAUCUCGAGAGCUCCUAUCGACAUAUGGGUUUACGACCUCGAUGUUGGAUCAGGGCAUCCCAGUGGUGCAGCCACUACUAAAGGUUCGUUUGUUCAACGAUUAAAGCCCCU